CCCUUAGAUGUUCUGGGCCGCACGCGCGCUACACUGGUGCAUUCAACGAGUUUAUAACCUUGGUCGGAAGGCCUGGGUAAUCUUUUGAACGUGCACCGUGAUUGGGCUAGAGCGUUGCAAUUUUCGCUCUCAAACGAGGAAUGCCUAGUAAACGCAAGUCAUCAGCUUGCAUUGAUUACGUCCCUGCCCUUUGUACACACCGCCCGUCGCACCUACCGAUUGAAUGGUCCGGUGAAGCCUCCGGAUUGGCGCGCACCUCGGUGCCGCCGAGAAGUUGGCUAAACCUUACCAUUUAGAGGAAGGUGAAGUCGUAACA
Molecule: ribosomal RNA, 316 nt
Filed under: uncultured eukaryote
Lineage: Eukaryota
Description: partial 18S ribosomal RNA
Rfam family: Eukaryotic small subunit ribosomal RNA
Source: RNAcentral